This 166-nucleotide ribosomal RNA is filed under the name Brachionus calyciflorus. Its description in RNAcentral is "5.8S ribosomal RNA". It matches the Rfam family "5.8S ribosomal RNA". From Rfam's summary of the family: 5.8S ribosomal RNA (5.8S rRNA) is a component of the large subunit of the eukaryotic ribosome. It is transcribed by RNA polymerase I as part of the 45S precursor that also contains 18S and 28S rRNA. The record is from RNAcentral. Lineage: Eukaryota; Metazoa; Rotifera; Eurotatoria; Ploima; Brachionidae.
UUAAUACAACCCUAUGCGGUGGAUCACUUGGCUCGCGAGUCGAUGAAGAGCGCAGCAAACUGCGUGAAUUAAUGUGAUUUGCAGGACACAUUGAUCAUCGAUAUCUUGAACGCAUAUUGCGGUUAUGGAUCGCUUCCACGACCACGCCUGUCUGAGGGUCGGUAUU